AUGCACAGUCAUUCACACACUCACAUUCACUCACCCACUCACAUUCACUCACCCACUCACUCACACAGUCACUCACCCACUCACAUUCACUCACCCACUCACACAGUCAUUCACACACUCACAAUCACUCACCCACUCACAAUCACUCACCCACUCACUCACACAGUCACUCACCUACUCACAUUCACUCACCCACUCACACAGUCAUUAACCCACUCACAUUCACUCACCCAUUCGCAUUCACUCACUCACACAGUCACUCACCCACUCACAUUCACUCACCCACUCACAUUCACCCACUCACUCACACAGUCACUCACCCACUCACAUUCACUCACCCACUCACACAGUCAUUCACCCACUCACAAUCACUCACCCACUCACAAUCACUCACCUACUCACAUUCACUCACCCAUUCGCAUUCACUCACUCACACAGUCACUCACCCUCUCACAGUCACUCACCCACUCACAUUCACUCACCCACUCACAUUCACCCACUCACUCACUCACACAGUCACUCACCCACUCACAUUCACUCACCCACUCACACAGUCACUCACCUACUCACAUUCACUCACCCAUUCGCAUUCACUCACUCACACAGUCACUCACCCACUCACAGUCACUCACCCACUCACAUUCACUCACCCACUCACAUUCACCCACUCACUCACUCACACAGUCACUCACCCACUCACAUUCACUCACCCACUCACACAGUCACUCACCUACUCACAUUCACUCACCCAUUCGCAUUCACUCACUCACACAGUCACUCACCCACUCACAGUCACUCACCCACUCACAUUCACUCACCCACUCACAUUCACCCACUCACUCACUCACACAGUCACUCACCCACUCACAUUCACUCACCCACUCACACAGUCACUCACCUACUCACAUUCACUCACCCAUUCGCAUUCACUCACUCACACAGUCACUCACCCACUCACAUUCACUCACCCACUCACAUUCACCCACUCACUCACUCACACAGUCACUCACCCACUCACAUUCACUCACCCACUCACACAGUCACUCACCUACUCACAUUCACUCACCCAUUCGCAUUCACUCACUCACACAGUCACUCACCCACUCACAUUCACUCACCCACUCACAUUCACCCACUCACUCACUCACACAGUCACUCACCCACUCACAUUCACUCACCCACUCACACAGUCACUCACCUACUCACAUUCACUCACCCAUUCGCAUUCACUCACUCACACAGUCACUCACCCACUCACACAGUCAUUCACCCACUCACACAGUCACUCACCCACUCACAUUCACCCACUCACCCACUCACUCACACAGUCACUAA
RNAcentral lists this long non-coding RNA (1335 nucleotides) under Nothobranchius furzeri (turquoise killifish). RNAcentral describes it as "lncRNA (ENSNFUG00015021897.1)". Lineage: Eukaryota; Metazoa; Chordata; Actinopteri; Cyprinodontiformes; Nothobranchiidae. The record is from RNAcentral.